GUGGGGCAUUGACCGAAGCUCGGUGCGAUCCGCACUAAGGAACCAUGAACUCGAAAGCAGAGGGCCCCUUGGCAUGCACAGGUAGCCCAAUGCGCCAGAGAUUCCUCGGAAUCAAAUGACUCUCGGCAAUGGAUAUCUCGGCUCUUGCAUCGAUGAAGAACGUAGUGAAAUGCGAUACUUGGUGUGAAUUGCAGAAUCUCGUGAACCAUUGAGUCUUUGAACGCAAGUUGUGCCCGAGGCCUUGUGGUCGAGGGCACGCCUGCUUGGGUGUCAUGGCAUCGUCGCCUUUGCUGCAUGCAUUGUUGUUGCUGAGUGCGGAAAUUGACCCCGUGUGCCCUCGGGCACAGUCGGUUGAAGAGUGGGUCGUCGGCAAUCGUCGGGCACGAUGGGUGUUGGUCGCCGUGAGCGGGAACAGAACAUCCCCCCCCAUCAUUUCUAGACGAGUCCUCAAAAAACCCUGUGUGAAUGUGACAUCGGGUGAAAGUGCCAUGUCCUUCAACUUGUGGCCCCAAGUCAGGCGAGGCCCCCCGCCGAG
RNAcentral lists this ribosomal RNA (535 nucleotides) under Boesenbergia sp. 7 NFL-2013. Its description in RNAcentral is "eukaryotic LSU rRNA". The stretch from base 118 to 273 matches the Rfam family "5.8S ribosomal RNA". Lineage: Eukaryota; Viridiplantae; Streptophyta; Magnoliopsida; Zingiberales; Zingiberaceae. The record is from RNAcentral.